Molecule: ribosomal RNA, 253 nt
Filed under: uncultured bacterium
Lineage: Bacteria
Description: partial 16S ribosomal RNA
Rfam family: Bacterial small subunit ribosomal RNA
Source: RNAcentral
UACAGAGGUCUCAAGCGUUGUUCGGAUUCAUUGGGCGUAAAGGGUGCGUAGGUGGCGCUGUAAGUCGGGUGUGAAAUUUCGGAGCUUAACUCCGAAACUGCAUUCGAUACUGCGGUGCUUGAGGACUGGAGAGGAGACUGGAAUUUACGGUGUAGCAGUGAAAUGCGUAGAUAUCGUAAGGAAGACCAGUGGCGAAGGCGGGUCUCUGGACAGUUCCUGACGCUGAGGCACGAAGGCCAGGGGAGCAAACGGG